Molecule: non-coding RNA, 271 nt
Organism: Caenorhabditis elegans
Lineage: Eukaryota; Metazoa; Nematoda; Chromadorea; Rhabditida; Rhabditidae
Source: Ensembl
UGCCAUAUUAUCGGUUCCCGUUUGGAAAUAUGUGUCCAAUGGGACAAGAGUGGCGAUGAAUUGAGUAAGAGGUGGAGACGGACAUUGUCUUUUUUUUCUGAUAGUCGCUUGCUUCUUUCUCGACGUCGCCUGUCUCUCUUUCUCUCUCGAAUCGUCCCGUUUUAAAGUGAAUAUGCAAGCGUGAAUGACCUUGAAUUUACUCAUUUUGCCGCAAGUUUCGCACUUUUCGGCGAUUCUCGCUCUCUCUCUCUCUCUCUCUCUAGUCAUUCUU